AUCUACAAUCAUACUACUAUGAAGGGACCAAAUCUGGUAUUUCAGAAGCUAAGCAGGGUUGGGCUUGGUUAAUCCUUGGAUGGGAGACCACCUGGGAAUACCGGGUACAGUAGGCU
This 116-nucleotide ribosomal RNA is filed under the name Jaculus jaculus (lesser Egyptian jerboa). The record is from RNAcentral. Lineage: Eukaryota; Metazoa; Chordata; Mammalia; Rodentia; Dipodidae.